RNAcentral lists this long non-coding RNA (374 nucleotides) under Lactuca sativa (garden lettuce). Its description in RNAcentral is "long non-coding RNA (LSAT_LNC002950)". Lineage: Eukaryota; Viridiplantae; Streptophyta; Magnoliopsida; Asterales; Asteraceae. The record is from RNAcentral.
GCCAGUGCAGAAUAUAUCGAGCACAAACCCGACCACCGGAUUGGAAUCUGGUCGACUUAUCAUGUCAGCAACGACAUUUCUGACAUGUUUUGAAUGACUAUUGAUGAACUCAUAGAAAGAAGUCAUGGGAGCUUUGGGGUCAAGCUUUGGUAAGGUUUCAUCUUGUGGGAGUUCAAUGAAGACUAUUCGUUCUAUAGCCUUAUUAUGUAACGAUUUGAUGUAGGUUGUGAGAGCAAAAGCAGAAUAAGGAGGGUUUAUUAGAAGAACGGUUAUGGAGAGCCUUUCAUCAUGAUUCACGAAUACUUUUGCCAUCUCAAUGGUGGACAUUAUGUGACCAACCCCUGGAACAGGGAUGAAGACGAGUUGUGCUACUG